Molecule: transfer RNA, 77 nt
Filed under: Acidobacteriota bacterium
Lineage: Bacteria; Pseudomonadati; Acidobacteriota
Also listed under: 2 other names
Description: Acidobacteria bacterium tRNA-Arg
Rfam family: tRNA
About the family: Transfer RNA (tRNA) molecules are approximately 80 nucleotides in length. Their secondary structure includes four short double-helical elements and three loops (D, anti-codon, and T loops).
Source: RNAcentral
GCUGGCGUGGCCGAGCGGAACGAGGCGCUGCUCUUCUAAAGCAGUCAACGCGGGUUCGAAUCCUGCCGCCAGCGCCA